UGGCGGCAGGCCUAACACAUGCAAGUCGAGCGCUACCUUCGGGUGGAGCGGCGGACGGGUUAGUAACGCGUGGGAACGUACCCAGAUCUAAGGAAUAGCCACUGGAAACGGUGAGUAAUACCUUAUACGCCCUUCGGGGGAAAGAUUUAUCGGAUUUGGAUCGGCCCGCGUUAGAUUAGAUAGUUGGUGGGGUAAUGGCCUACCAAGUCUACGAUCUAUAGCUGGUUUUAGAGGAUGAUCAGCAACACUGGGACUGAGACACGGCCCAGACUCCUACGGGAGGCAGCAGUGGGGAAUCUUGGACAAUGGGCGCAAGCCUGAUCCAGCCAUGCCGCGUGAGUGAUGAAGGCCUUAGGGUCGUAAAGCUCUUUCGCCAGAGAUGAUAAUGACAGUAUCUGGUAAAGAAACCCCGGCUAACUCCGUGCCAGCAGCCGCGGUAAUACGGAGGGGGUUAGCGUUGUUCGGAAUUACUGGGCGUAAAGCGUACGUAGGCGGAUUAGUCAGUCAGAGGUGAAAUCCCAGGGCUCAACCCUGGAACUGCCUUUGAUACUGCUAGUCUUGAGUUCGAGAGAGGUGAGUGGAAUUCCAAGUGUAGAGGUGAAAUUCGUAGAUAUUUGGAGGAACACCAGUGGCGAAGGCGGCUCACUGGCUCGAUACUGACGCUGAGGUACGAAAGUGUGGGGAGCAAACAGGAUUAGAUACCCUGGUAGUCCACACCGUAAACGAUGAAUGCCAGUCGUCGGGCAGUAUACUGUUCGGUGACACACCUAACGGAUUA
This 778-nucleotide ribosomal RNA is filed under the name uncultured Lentibacter sp. RNAcentral's name for it is "bacterial SSU rRNA". It matches the Rfam family "Bacterial small subunit ribosomal RNA", at positions 37 to 862 of the family's 1533-position model. Lineage: Bacteria; Pseudomonadati; Pseudomonadota; Alphaproteobacteria; Rhodobacterales; Roseobacteraceae. The record is from RNAcentral.